This 490-nucleotide ribosomal RNA is filed under the name uncultured bacterium. Its description in RNAcentral is "partial 16S ribosomal RNA". It matches the Rfam family "Bacterial small subunit ribosomal RNA", at positions 30 to 507 of the family's 1533-position model. The record is from RNAcentral.
AUUGAACGCUGGCGGCAUGCCUUACACAUGCAAGUCGAACGGCAGCAUGAUCUAGCUUGCUAGAUUGAUGGCGAGUGGCGAACGGGUGAGUAAUACAUCGGAACGUGCCCUGUAGUGGGGGAUAACUAGUCGAAAGAUUAGCUAAUACCGCAUACGACCUGAGGGUGAAAGUGGGGGACCGCAAGGCCGCAUGCUAUAGGAGCGGCCGAUGUCUGAUUAGCUAGUUGGUGAGGUAAAGGCUCACCAAGGCGACGAUCAGUAGCUGGUCUGAGAGGACGAUCAGCCACACUGGGACUGAGACACGGCCCAGACUCCUACGGGAGGCAGCAGUGGGGAAUUUUGGACAAUGGGCGAAAGCCUGAUCCAGCAAUGCCGCGUGUGUGAAGAAGGCCUUCGGGUUGUAAAGCACUUUUGUCCGGAAAGAAAUGGCUCUGGUUAAUACCUGGGGUCGAUGACGGUACCGGAAGAAUAAGGACCGGCUAACUACGUG